UUUUUAAAUGCAAAUACAUAUAAAUAAGUUUUAAAAAUAUAGCAUAAUUCAUUAUUUAAAAUAUCAUAACAUACAAUAAAAAUAUUUAAAGUCUUAAAACAAAAAAAUUUCGUAAUAUAAAAGAUGCGGUAAGAAAUUAGGGUUAGAAUUUUUAAGAUGGAUAAAUAAAAAUAUAUACAUUUUAAUUAAGAAAAUAUAUUUUUUAAUUAAAAAGUAUAUGUGCGGGUACCCGUGGGUAUCCGCGGGUUA
RNAcentral lists this long non-coding RNA (249 nucleotides) under Ananas comosus (pineapple). RNAcentral describes it as "long non-coding RNA (ACOM_LNC026024)". Lineage: Eukaryota; Viridiplantae; Streptophyta; Magnoliopsida; Poales; Bromeliaceae. The record is from RNAcentral.